Papaver somniferum (opium poppy) is the source of this 235-nucleotide long non-coding RNA. RefSeq lists it as uncharacterized. The record is from RefSeq and is a predicted model, not a curated record. The transcript has 3 exons. NCBI's taxonomy places the organism in Eukaryota, Viridiplantae, Streptophyta, Magnoliopsida, Ranunculales, Papaveraceae.
GUUUGAAGAAGAACUAAUCAGAGUUGGUUUAGGAAAACUAAGAAGGUGUCGGUGGGGUAGUGACUUAUGUAACAAAUUCAACUAAUCAGAGUUGGUUUAGGAAAACUAAGAAGGUUACCAUGGUUGAAAUCUCAGAAGAUGAUUCUGCUUCUAAUCUUCCAAUUAUACAUGGAGUGGCAUCACAAAUGGGACCUCCCCCUCCACGUCCACCGCGUUCUGGACAAGUGCAUGGACC